RNAcentral lists this unclassified non-coding RNA (354 nucleotides) under soil metagenome. RNAcentral's name for it is "partial contains 5.8S ribosomal RNA, internal transcribed spacer 2, and large subunit ribosomal RNA". The stretch from base 1 to 120 matches the Rfam family "5.8S ribosomal RNA", at positions 35 to 154 of the family's 154-position model. The record is from RNAcentral.
GAUGAAGAACGUAGCGAAAUGCGAUAAGUAAUGUGAAUUGCAGAAUUCCGUGAAUCAUCGAAUCUUUGAACGCACAUUGCGCCCCCUGGCAUUCCGGGGGGCAUGCCUGUCCGAGCGUCAUUUCUGCCCUCCAGCCCGGCUGGGUGUUGGGCGCUGUCCCCCCGGGGACACGCCCCAAAGGCAGUGGCGGCGCCGCGUCGGGUCCUCGAGCGUAUGGGGCUUUGUCACCCGCUCGGGACGGACUCGUCGGCGCUGGUCUUCCUCCAGGCGACCCUUCGGGGCUCGUCUUCCUUCGGUUGACCUCGGAUCAGGUAGGGUUACCCGCUUAACUUCAGCAUAUCAAUAAGCGGAGGA